AGUGAACGCUGGCGGUAGGCCUAACACAUGCAAGUCGAACGGCAGCACAGUAAGAGCUUGCUCUUACGGGUGGCGAGUGGCGGACGGGUGAGGCAUACAUCGGAAUCUACUUUUUCGUGGGGGAUAACGUAGGGAAACUUACGCUAAUACCGCAUACGACCUACGGGUGAAAGCAGGGGAUCUUCGGACCUUGCGCGAUUGAAUGAGCCGAUGUCGGAUUAGGUAGUUGGCGGGGUAAAGGCCUACCAAGGCGACGAUCCGUAGCUGGUCUGAGAGGAUGAUCAGCCACACUGGAACUGAGACACGGUCCAGACUCCUACGGGAGGCAGCAGUGGGGAAUAUUGGACAAAGGGCGAAAGCCUGAUCCAGCCAUACCGCGUGGGUGAAGAAGGCCUUCGGGUUGUAAAGCCCUGUUGUUGGGAAAGAACAGCAGUAGGUUAAUACCCCGCUGUUCUGACGGUACCCAAAGAAUAAGCACCGGCUAACUUCGUG
This 492-nucleotide ribosomal RNA is filed under the name uncultured bacterium. Its description in RNAcentral is "partial 16S ribosomal RNA". It matches the Rfam family "Bacterial small subunit ribosomal RNA", at positions 29 to 507 of the family's 1533-position model. The record is from RNAcentral.